AGCUCCAAUAGCGUAUAUUAAAGUUGUUGCAGUUAAAAAGCUCGUAGUUGGAUUUCUGAUAGGAGUAGUGACUAUGGGUCUUUGACCUAUGAAGUUGCUAUCUUCAAUCAUCCUUGAAGAGAUUUAGUUUGGCAUUAAGUUGUCGAACUAAAGAUAUUCAUCUUUUACUGUGAAAAAAUCAGAACGUUCAAAGUAAGCAUUUAGCUUUGAAUGUAUUAGCAUGGAAUAAUGAAAUAGGACUUAGGUACUACUUUGUUGGUUUAUGCACCUAGGUAAUGAUUAAUAGGGAUAGUUGGGGGUAUUCGUAUUCCAAUGUUAGAGGUGAAAUUCUUGGAUUUUUGGAAGACGAACAACUGCGAAAGCAUUUACCAAGGAUGUUU
RNAcentral lists this ribosomal RNA (380 nucleotides) under uncultured eukaryote. RNAcentral describes it as "SSU rRNA". It matches the Rfam family "Eukaryotic small subunit ribosomal RNA", at positions 587 to 969 of the family's 1831-position model. The record is from RNAcentral.